This 582-nucleotide unclassified non-coding RNA is filed under the name Miconia myrmecina. Its description in RNAcentral is "Clidemia myrmecina partial contains external transcribed spacer and 18S ribosomal RNA". Lineage: Eukaryota; Viridiplantae; Streptophyta; Magnoliopsida; Myrtales; Melastomataceae. The record is from RNAcentral.
UGUACGGGACGCACUUCGAUCCUCCGGCGGCACCUUCUUUCGGAGGUGUUGUCGGAACGUCCGGUGUAUCCCGUCUAGCGAUGGGACGACGCAUGAGUGGUUUCCAGGAUAUGUUUCCAUGCAGGCUCCGUGUAUCUYGCAUCGAACUGCAUGGGUCUAUCUAUUUCAUUCGUGGGUUCGCCUCGACGUAUUCAGGUUCGGUUGGGAAUGCUCGUUGUGUUACUGUGCUCGAUAUUGAAUUACGGAGUUGGAUGGAUCGGUAUUCCUCGUAUGUUUGAUCGAUCGUCGUCCGCCGUGCGCGGCGACGGCGGAUAUGGUGCGGGCAUCGACGUUCUAUUCGAGCCGUCGUCCCCUUUGGGCGCUUCUGCUCGUGAUGGCGCGUUGAUGCUGGCGGCUCUUUCGGGUGCGGAGAUUUCCUGGUUGUCGCUUUGGUCUUCGACCUUUGUGAACGUAUCGUAUCGAAGCAUUCUUGCUUCUGCAUGUAUGACCCUCGUGCUCGUCUAAGAGCUCACGGAGCCCCUUCGUUCGGUGUUCUCCUAGGGGAGCUAUCGAGGUCUACGGAAGGAAUGCUACCUGGUUGAU